RNAcentral lists this ribosomal RNA (262 nucleotides) under uncultured Neisseriales bacterium. RNAcentral describes it as "partial 16S ribosomal RNA". It matches the Rfam family "Bacterial small subunit ribosomal RNA", at positions 524 to 785 of the family's 1533-position model. The record is from RNAcentral. Lineage: Bacteria; Pseudomonadati; Pseudomonadota; Betaproteobacteria; Neisseriales.
UACGUAGGGUGCGAGCGUUAAUCGGAAUUACUGGGCGUAAAGCGAGCGCAGACGGUUACUUAAGCAGGAUGUGAAAUCCCCGGGCUCAACCUGGGAACUGCGUUCUGAACUGGGUGACUAGAGUGUGUCAGAGGGAGGUAGAGUUCCACGUGUAGCAGUGAAAUGCGUAGAGAUGUGGAGGAAUACCGAUGGCGAAGGCAGCCUCCUGGGAUAACACUGACGUUCAUGCUCGAAAGCGUGGGUAGCAAACAGGAUUAGAUAC